AAGGCCUCGUCACUCGCGCUUUUUAAAGUUCCUAUCAAACGUACCGAAAGUGGAGCAACCUUGUGGGAUUUUAAACAACUUUGAUAUGCCACCAAACACCAAGUGUCACUGUCACUGUGAUGUGACCAAGUGUCACUGCCAGAAGUGGUUGAUGUCAGUGUUAAAUAGAAACUCAAAACAAGCAAGAAAUAAUACCAUAAUAAGAAUAAACCAUUUAUUAAAGCUUCAAUAGUUUCCUGCUUUGGGGUUUGUUGUCUAUUAUUUUUCUUUUUAAAGAAUCUGUUUUUUCUAGACAUAUAUUCGACAAGACCGGUUUUGCUACUGUUAGUAUAAUGAUCACGCUGAGGUCUUGUUGGUGUUCAACGCAAGGUAGUAAUGGAUUUUUUAGUAAUUUUGGUUGUAAGAGCUUAAUCAGGUGGUCACAUGUUUUGUUAAAACUUAAGUGUGGUAAAAUUUCUUGGAUGACAUCGGCUAUUUGCUUUACAAGUCCCACAAAUAGUUCACUUGGGUGUAUUAAGCCACCAUGGUCUUGAAGGGUUAUUAAUUUUAGCAGAGGUCCAGCUUAAGAAUUACAUAUCCAGCUAAGAAAGCUAUGGAUGCAGAGUAGAGGUUACUUUCAGGCAGAAGUAGUUCUUCAAGUUGGUCCUCUGCUGUUUGAUUUCUCUGAUGAGACAGUUGAUUCAAAGAUACAUACUUGCGGUGUUAGCAAAUAAAGAUGAUUUUAAAAUGCCACUUCGUAGAAUUUGCCGUAAAGCAUAUUCUGCAGCACGAGCAUCAGUGGUGUCAUUUGAGCCUCCUUUUAGGCGAAUAUGGGAAAAUGUUGCUUCAACUGCGUCCGAGCUAAAUGAUCUAGUUAAUACAUAAUAAAAUCCAGAUUGUUUAAGAAGAAACUGAAUGCACAAAAAUGUGCUUUUUGCUGUGAAACACAAAGCAUGUGCCGUUUCGUCGCUUAAGCCUGAAUAACCAGUCCUGCUUGAAGUAGACUAAAUAUCCUUGACUUAAUGUUGGAAAGUCACAUUCAACCAGUGAAGGCGUUCGUCCGAAACGUUCACAUAUGGUGCAACAGUGCUAUCGAGGGCAUGAAUGUAGUGCCUGCGAGUUGAAACAUUGUGCACUUGAAAGAAAUGAUACAUGUUUUCCAUGUAUAAGAUAGUCCCAUCAGCAUCAAUAAAAUUAUCAUAUCCAUCUUCUUUUAAUAAUUUAAGCGCUGAAGUAACUGGCGGUGAAAAAACCUGUACAGCUCGCAACACAUUCAUCUUCUCCAGAUUGGUUGGAAAUAGGUGUUUUUUGGUA
Long non-coding RNA from Zophobas morio, 1293 nucleotides. RefSeq lists it as uncharacterized. The transcript is spliced from 3 exons. Lineage: Eukaryota; Metazoa; Arthropoda; Insecta; Coleoptera; Tenebrionidae. The record is from RefSeq and is a predicted model, not a curated record.